RNAcentral lists this ribosomal RNA (527 nucleotides) under uncultured Acetobacterium sp. Its description in RNAcentral is "bacterial SSU rRNA". It matches the Rfam family "Bacterial small subunit ribosomal RNA", at positions 82 to 625 of the family's 1533-position model. The record is from RNAcentral. Lineage: Bacteria; Bacillati; Bacillota; Clostridia; Eubacteriales; Eubacteriaceae.
GAAAUCCUAGAAAGUGGCGAACGGGUGAGUAACGCGUGGGUAACCUGCCCUAUGGAAAGGAAUAGCCUCGGGAAACUGGGAGUAAUGCCUUAUAAUAUACGAGAGUCGCAUGGCUUUUGUAUUAAACGCUCCGGUGCCAUAGGAUGGACCCGCGUCCCAUUAGCUAGUUGGUGAGAUAACAGCCCACCAAGGCGACGAUGGGUAACCGGUCUGAGAGGGCGAACGGUCACACUGGAACUGAGACACGGUCCAGACUCCUACGGGAGGCAGCAGUGGGGAAUAUUGCGCAAUGGGGGCAACCCUGACGCAGCAAUACCGCGUGAGUGAAGAAGGUUUUCGGAUCGUAAAGCUCUGUUAUUGGGGAAGAAAAAAGACGGUACCCAAGAAGAAAGUCCCGGCUAACUACGUGCCAGCAGCCGCGGUAAUACGUAGGGGACAAGCGUUGUCCGGAUUUACUGGGCGUAAAGGGCACGCAGGCGGUUUUUUAAGUCAGAUGUGAAAGGUACCGGCUCAACCGGUGACAUGCA